This 253-nucleotide ribosomal RNA is filed under the name uncultured bacterium. Its description in RNAcentral is "partial 16S ribosomal RNA". It matches the Rfam family "Bacterial small subunit ribosomal RNA", at positions 524 to 776 of the family's 1533-position model. The record is from RNAcentral.
UACGUAGGUGGCAAGCGUUGUCCGGAUUUACUGGGCGUAAAGGGAGCGUAGGCGGACUUUUAAGUGAGAUGUGAAAUACCCGGGCUCAACCUGGGUGCUGCAUUUCAAACUGGAAGUCUAGAGUGCAGGAGAGGAGAAUGGAAUUCCUAGUGUAGCGGUGAAAUGCGUAGAGAUUAGGAAGAACACCAGUGGCGAAGGCGAUUCUCUGGACUGUAACUGACGCUGAGGCUCGAAAGCGUGGGGAGCAAACAGG